This 483-nucleotide ribosomal RNA is filed under the name uncultured bacterium. RNAcentral describes it as "partial 16S ribosomal RNA". It matches the Rfam family "Bacterial small subunit ribosomal RNA", at positions 30 to 507 of the family's 1533-position model. The record is from RNAcentral.
AUUGAACGCUGGCGGCAGGCCUAACACAUGCAAGUCGAGCGGAUGAAGGGAGCUUGCUCCUGGAUUCAGCGGCGGACGGGUGAGUAAUGCCUAGGAAUCUGCCUGGUAGUGGGGGAUAACGUCCGGAAACGGGCGCUAAUACCGCAUACGUCCUGAGGGAGAAAGUGGGGGAUCUUCGGACCUCACGCUAUCAGAUGAGCCUAGGUCGGAUAGCUAGUUGGUGGGGUAAAGGCCUACCAAGGCGACGAUCCGUAACUGGUCUGAGAGGAUGAUCAGUCACACUGGAACUGAGACACGGUCCAGACUCCUACGGGAGGCAGCAGUGGGGAAUAUUGGACAAUGGGCGAAAGCCUGAUCCAGCCAUGCCGCGUGUGUGAAGAAGGUCUUCGGAUUGUAAAGCACUUUAAGUUGGGAGGAAGGGCAGUAAGUUAAUACCUUGCUGUUUUGACGUUACCAACAGAAUAAGCACCGGCUAACUUCGUG